GAUGAACGCUGGCGGCGUGCCUAAUACAUGCAAGUCGAGCGAACAGACUAGGAUCUUUCUCCUCUUACGUUAGCGUCUGACGUGUUAGUAACACGUUGAUAACCUACCUAUAAUACUUGGAUAACUUCGUGAAACCGGCUCUAAUACCGUAUAAUAUAUUGAACCUCAUGGUUCAAUAGUUAAAUACGGUUUUGCUGUCACUUAUAGAUGGAUCCGCGCCGCAUUAGCUAGUUGGUAAGGUAACGGCUUACCAAGGCAACGAUGCGUAGCCGAACUGAGAGGGGGAUCGGACAAACGGGAAAGGAGACACGGUAAAGAGGACUACGGGAGGAAGCAGAAGGGAAUAUUACGCAAUGGGCGAAAGCAUGACGGAGCAAAGCAGCGUGAGUGAUGAAGGUCUGCGGAUAGUAAAACUCUGUUAUUAGGGAAGAAAAAAUGUGGAAGUAACAAUGCACGUAUUGACGGUAACGAAUCAGAAAGCAACGGCUAACUACGUG
Molecule: ribosomal RNA, 497 nt
Filed under: uncultured bacterium
Lineage: Bacteria
Description: partial 16S ribosomal RNA
Rfam family: Bacterial small subunit ribosomal RNA
Source: RNAcentral